GUCUCAGCAAGAGUUUGACUCCAGAAGGGCUCAAGCUCCCACCCACCAUUCUGCUUGCUCAGAAGUUGAGGGACCCUUCCUGCUCCUAGAAGCACGCCUGGCCUGGACGGCUGCCCUAGGACCGUGGCGAGAGGAAGCAGACGCCGCUCUGAGCGCGUACCGCACAGUGGCCAGGCCGAGGGACUGCGCGUAGGAAGAGCGGCAAGCCCAGAAAAUAGACCCGCGAGGGGAGAGAGCAUGGUAGCCGCGCUGCGCCCCCACACCCUCCGUGUUCGCGGUUUUGCGCGUGCCCACCAGGAAGAGCCAGAGCACGAGGUACAUCGAGAGAGGAGAUGGCGACCUGCUGAUUUCUGGAUCAAUCCUGGAAUCCUAUCAUUCACAUUGGCAGAAACCUCAGCCCCAUCCUUGGCAAACGAGAGCCAGCGCUGCAGGGAGGGGAUGUACCCACCUGGGCUUGGGGCUGGUCCUGUCCUCUCCUCCACUUCUCCUGGCCUUGUCACCUUUUCACUUUGUCCUGCCCACCUUUCCCAGUCUUCUUUUCUUCCUCCUGAAGAUGAUUGGUAAAUACUGAAGCAUGCACUCCACCCUCCCAGAGGGCUCCCUCCCAUCUCCAGGA
This 616-nucleotide long non-coding RNA is filed under the name Dasypus novemcinctus (nine-banded armadillo). Its description in RNAcentral is "lncRNA (ENSDNOG00000051475.1)". Lineage: Eukaryota; Metazoa; Chordata; Mammalia; Cingulata; Dasypodidae. The record is from RNAcentral.